GGUUAGCAAUAAUUCGGCGGUCUUUUCGGCGUACGGGUGAGGAAAAAAUGGGUAACCUGCCCUCGAGUCCGGGAUACCCUCUCGAAAGGGAGGCUAAUGCUGGAUACGUUCCCUGGGGCGCAAGACCUGGGGAGGAAAGGUAGCGAAAGCUGCCGCUCUUGGAGGGGCUCGCGGCCUAUCAGCUAGUUGGUGAGGUAACGGCUCACCAAGGCUAUGACGGGUAGCUGGUCUGAGAGGACUUACCAGCCACACGGGAACUGAGACACGGUCCCGACUCCUACUGGAGGCAGCAGUGGG
RNAcentral lists this ribosomal RNA (297 nucleotides) under uncultured bacterium. RNAcentral describes it as "partial 16S ribosomal RNA". It matches the Rfam family "Bacterial small subunit ribosomal RNA", at positions 74 to 358 of the family's 1533-position model. The record is from RNAcentral.